This 336-nucleotide unclassified non-coding RNA is filed under the name soil metagenome. Its description in RNAcentral is "partial contains 5.8S ribosomal RNA, internal transcribed spacer 2, and large subunit ribosomal RNA". The stretch from base 1 to 120 matches the Rfam family "5.8S ribosomal RNA", at positions 35 to 154 of the family's 154-position model. The record is from RNAcentral.
GAUGAAGAACGUAGUGAAAUGCGAUAAGUAGUGUGAAUUGCAGAAUUCAGUGAAUCAUCGAAUCUUUGAACGCACAUUGCGCCCCUUGGUAUUCCAUGGGGCAUGCCUGUUCGAGCGUCAUUUGUACCUUCAAGCUUUGCUUGGUGUUGGGUGUUUGUCUCGCCUUUGCGUGUAGACUCGCCUUAAAAUAAUUGGCAGCCGGCGUAUUGAUUUCGGAGCGCAGUACAUCUCGCGCUUUGCACUCAUAACGACAGCGUCCAAAAGUACAUUUUACACUCUUGACCUCGGAUCAGGUAGGGAUACCCGCUGAACUUAUGCAUAUCAAUAAGCGGAGGA